UGAUGGGGAUAACAGUUGGAAACGACUGCUAAUACCGGAUACGCUCAUGAUGAACUUUAUGAGGAAAGGUGGCCUCUGCUUGCAAGCUAUCGCAUAGAGAUGAGUCCGCGUCCCAUUAGCUAGUUGGUGGGGUAACGGCCUACCAAGGCAACGAUGGGUAGCCGAUCUGAGAGGAUGAUCGGCCACACUGGAACUGAAACACGGUCCAG
RNAcentral lists this ribosomal RNA (209 nucleotides) under uncultured bacterium. Its description in RNAcentral is "partial 16S ribosomal RNA". It matches the Rfam family "Bacterial small subunit ribosomal RNA", at positions 135 to 334 of the family's 1533-position model. The record is from RNAcentral.